UUGCCCUACGGGGGGCAGCAGUGAGGAAUAUUGGUCAAUGGUCGGGAGACUGAACCAGCCAAGCCGCGUGAGGGAUGAAGGUACAGAGUAUCGUAAACCUCUUUUGUCAGGGAACAAAGGCGGGGACGCGUCCCCGGCUGAGUGUACCUGUAGAAAAAGCAUCGGCUAACUCCGUGCCAGCAGCCGCGGUAAUACGGAGGAUGCGAGCGUUAUUCGGCUUUAUUGGGUUUAAAGGGUGCGCAGGCGGUCUGUUAAGUCAGCGGUCAA
This 267-nucleotide ribosomal RNA is filed under the name uncultured bacterium. Its description in RNAcentral is "partial 16S ribosomal RNA". It matches the Rfam family "Bacterial small subunit ribosomal RNA", at positions 334 to 598 of the family's 1533-position model. The record is from RNAcentral.